RNAcentral lists this ribosomal RNA (2900 nucleotides) under Klebsiella pneumoniae. RNAcentral describes it as "bacterial LSU rRNA". It matches the Rfam family "Bacterial large subunit ribosomal RNA". Lineage: Bacteria; Pseudomonadati; Pseudomonadota; Gammaproteobacteria; Enterobacterales; Enterobacteriaceae. The record is from RNAcentral.
UUAAGCGACUAAGCGUACACGGUGGAUGCCCUGGCAGUCAGAGGCGAUGAAGGACGUGCUAAUCUGCGAAAAGCGUCGGUAAGGUGAUAUGAACCGUUAUAACCGGCGAUGUCCGAAUGGGGAAACCCAGUGCAAUUCGUUGCACUAUCGUUAACUGAAUACAUAGGUUAACGAGGCGAACCGGGGGAACUGAAACAUCUAAGUACCCCGAGGAAAAGAAAUCAACCGAGAUUCCCCCAGUAGCGGCGAGCGAACGGGGAGCAGCCCAGAGUCUGAAUCAGCUUGUGUGUUAGUGGAACGGUCUGGAAAGUCCGACGGUACAGGGUGAUAGUCCCGUACACCAAAAUGCACAGGUUGUGAACUCGAAGAGUAGGGCGGGACACGUGGUAUCCUGUCUGAAUAUGGGGGGACCAUCCUCCAAGGCUAAAUACUCCUGACUGACCGAUAGUGAACCAGUACCGUGAGGGAAAGGCGAAAAGAACCCGGCGAGGGGAGUGAAAAAGAACCUGAAACCGUGUACGUACAAGCAGUGGGAGCACCUUCGGGUGUGACUGCGUACCUUUUGUAUAAUGGGUCAGCGACUUAUAUUCUGUAGCAAGGUUAACCGUAUAGGGGAGCCGCAGGGAAACCGAGUCUUAACUGGGCGUUAAGUUGCAGGGUAUAGACCCGAAACCCGGUGAUCUAGCCAUGGGCAGGUUGAAGGUUGGGUAACACUAACUGGAGGACCGAACCGACUAAUGUUGAAAAAUUAGCGGAUGACUUGUGGCUGGGGGUGAAAGGCCAAUCAAACCGGGAGAUAGCUGGUUCUCCCCGAAAGCUAUUUAGGUAGCGCCUCGUGAACUCAUCUUCGGGGGUAGAGCACUGUUUCGGCUAGGGGGUCAUCCCGACUUACCAACCCGAUGCAAACUACGAAUACCGAAGAAUGUUAUCACGGGAGACACACGGCGGGUGCUAACGUCCGUCGUGAAGAGGGAAACAACCCAGACCGCCAGCUAAGGUCCCAAAGUCAUGGUUAAGUGGGAAACGAUGUGGGAAGGCACAGACAGCCAGGAUGUUGGCUUAGAAGCAGCCAUCAUUUAAAGAAAGCGUAAUAGCUCACUGAGUCGAGUCGGCCUGCGCGGAAGAUGUAACGGGGCUAAACCAUGCACCGAAGCUGCGGCAGCGACACUAUGUGUUGUUGGGUAGGGGAGCGUUCUGUAAGCCUGCGAAGGUGUGCUGUGAGGCAUGCUGGAGGUAUCAGAAGUGCGAAUGCUGACAUAAGUAACGAUAAAGCGGGUGAAAAGCCCGCUCGCCGGAAGACCAAGGGUUCCUGUCCAACGUUAAUCGGGGCAGGGUGAGUCGACCCCUAAGGCGAGGCCGAAAGGCGUAGUCGAUGGGAAACAGGUUAAUAUUCCUGUACUUGGUGUUACUGCGAAGGGGGGACGGAGAAGGCUAUGUUAGCCGGGCGACGGUUGUCCCGGUUUAAGCAUGUAGGCUGAUUGUCCAGGCAAAUCCGGAUAAUCAAGGCUGAGGUGUGAUGACGAGGCACUACGGUGCUGAAGUAACAAAUGCCCUGCUUCCAGGAAAAGCCUCUAAGCAUCAGGUAACAUCAAAUCGUACCCCAAACCGACACAGGUGGUCAGGUAGAGAAUACCAAGGCGCUUGAGAGAACUCGGGUGAAGGAACUAGGCAAAAUGGUGCCGUAACUUCGGGAGAAGGCACGCUGGUGUGUAGGUGAAGUCCCUGCGGAUGGAGCUGAGACCAGUCGAAGAUACCAGCUGGCUGCAACUGUUUAUUAAAAACACAGCACUGUGCAAACACGAAAGUGGACGUAUACGGUGUGACGCCUGCCCGGUGCCGGAAGGUUAAUUGAUGGGGUUAUCCGUAAGGAGAAGCUCUUGAUCGAAGCCCCGGUAAACGGCGGCCGUAACUAUAACGGUCCUAAGGUAGCGAAAUUCCUUGUCGGGUAAGUUCCGACCUGCACGAAUGGCGUAAUGAUGGCCAGGCUGUCUCCACCCGAGACUCAGUGAAAUUGAACUCGCUGUGAAGAUGCAGUGUACCCGCGGCAAGACGGAAAGACCCCGUGAACCUUUACUAUAGCUUGACACUGAACAUUGAGCCUUGAUGUGUAGGAUAGGUGGGAGGCUUUGAAGCGUGGACGCCAGUCUGCGUGGAGCCAACCUUGAAAUACCACCCUUUAAUGUUUGAUGUUCUAACGUUGGCCCCUUACCGGGGUUGCGGACAGUGUCUGGUGGGUAGUUUGACUGGGGCGGUCUCCUCCCAAAGCGUAACGGAGGAGCACGAAGGUUAGCUAAUCCUGGUCGGACAUCAGGAGGUUAGUGCAAUGGCAUAAGCUAGCUUGACUGCGAGCGUGACGGCGCGAGCAGGUGCGAAAGCAGGUCAUAGUGAUCCGGUGGUUCUGAAUGGAAGGGCCAUCGCUCAACGGAUAAAAGGUACUCCGGGGAUAACAGGCUGAUACCGCCCAAGAGUUCAUAUCGACGGCGGUGUUUGGCACCUCGAUGUCGGCUCAUCACAUCCUGGGGCUGAAGUAGGUCCCAAGGGUAUGGCUGUUCGCCAUUUAAAGUGGUACGCGAGCUGGGUUUAGAACGUCGUGAGACAGUUCGGUCCCUAUCUGCCGUGGGCGCUGGAGAAUUGAGGGGGGCUGCUCCUAGUACGAGAGGACCGGAGUGGACGCAUCACUGGUGUUCGGGUUGUCAUGCCAAUGGCACUGCCCGGUAGCUAAAUGCGGAAGAGAUAAGUGCUGAAAGCAUCUAAGCACGAAACUUGCCCCGAGAUGAGUUCUCCCUGAGACUUUAAGUCUCCUGAAGGAACGUUGAAGACGACGACGUUGAUAGGCCGGGUGUGUAAGCGCAGCGAUGCGUUGAGCUAACCGGUACUAAUGAACCGUGAGGCUUAACCUU